RNAcentral lists this long non-coding RNA (972 nucleotides) under Marmota monax (woodchuck). Lineage: Eukaryota; Metazoa; Chordata; Mammalia; Rodentia; Sciuridae. The record is from RNAcentral.
AAAAUAUUUAAGAUAUAAAAUAUAAAAAUUAUUUAAAAUAUAAAUAUAAAAAAUAUUUAAAAUAUAAAAUAUAAAAAAUUUUAAAAUAUAAAAUAUUAAAAAUUUUAAAAUAUAAAAAAGGGAAUGUGACUCAGUGGUUAAGUGCCCCUGGAUUCAAUCCUCAGUAUAAAACAAACAAACAGAACAAAACAAAAUAAAAAAAAAACCCAAACAGGCUUCUGAGUCCCAGAAAUUCAGAUGAUACAGAUUGGAGAGCAGGAUAGUUGGCAUUUUUAAAAACUUCCCUCUGCGUGUCUGAUGAUUCUGCACACUGUAUUCAAUAGGGAGAAAUUUUAAAUAUUUCAAGGCACAGUCCACACUCAGGCCUAUUACAUUUGCAGAUGGGAUUCCCUCCCCACCAGAAUUUUUAAAAGGUCUCAGGAGAUUCUAAUAUUCAGCUAAAUUGUGAACCACUGUCCUAAACGGUGUGGUCCUUGGGAGCAAGAGCUAGAGAUUUCUGGGUGCCUGUGCUAGAGAAUUGCCUCCACCAUUGCUCCCACUGACAUCUGUCCACUUCACCCGUCUUUCUACCCUCCCUCCCUCCCUCCAUUUGGCAAUUAUUUAUUAAAUCUACUUUAUGUCACUCUGUGUUCUAGGCAUGACAGGUACACAAGUAAACAAAAUGGGCAAAAAUCCCUGACUCUAAGCAUCCUUUAUAUUUGAAUAGGGUAAGACAAAUAUGAGAACGGAGUCCCAUACAGAGAUGUCCGUUAUAGCAUCAUUUGUGAGAUUGAAGAAGAAAUUGGAGAGAGUUCAAAUGUCCAAUAGAGGUAGUUAAACUGUAGAAUACGAUAUAGCAUCCGGUCACUUAUGGAUGUAAAUAGGAGGGAUCUGGGUUGAAUCCAAGACCAUUGUUCCCAGAUUGUAUGAUCUGAGACAAGUUAGUUAAUGACUCUAAGCCCCACUUUCCUCAUCUGCAAAAUGGAGAAUAAC